This 73-nucleotide transfer RNA is filed under the name Ixodes scapularis (black-legged tick). It matches the Rfam family "tRNA". From Rfam's summary of the family: Transfer RNA (tRNA) molecules are approximately 80 nucleotides in length. Their secondary structure includes four short double-helical elements and three loops (D, anti-codon, and T loops). Further hydrogen bonds mediate the characteristic L-shaped molecular structure. tRNAs have two regions of fundamental functional importance: the anti-codon, which is responsible for specific mRNA codon recognition, and the 3' end, to which the tRNAs corresponding amino acid is attached (by aminoacyl-tRNA synthetases). tRNAs cope with the degeneracy of the genetic code in two manners: having more than one tRNA (with a specific anti-codon) for a particular amino acid; and 'wobble' base-pairing, i.e. permitting non-standard base-pairing at the 3rd anti-codon position. Lineage: Eukaryota; Metazoa; Arthropoda; Arachnida; Ixodida; Ixodidae. The record is from Rfam by way of RNAcentral.
UCCUGGUUAGCUCAAUUGGUAGCGCGCUCCACCGGAAAUGGUGAGGUCCCUGGUUCGAUUCCAGGACCGGGCG